UAGUGGCAAAACCCAAAUUUGAUCUGCU
This 28-nucleotide non-coding RNA is filed under the name Mus musculus (house mouse). Lineage: Eukaryota; Metazoa; Chordata; Mammalia; Rodentia; Muridae. The record is from RNAcentral.